This 254-nucleotide ribosomal RNA is filed under the name uncultured bacterium. RNAcentral describes it as "partial 16S ribosomal RNA". It matches the Rfam family "Bacterial small subunit ribosomal RNA", at positions 524 to 776 of the family's 1533-position model. The record is from RNAcentral.
UACGUAGGCAGCGAGCGUUGUUCGGAGUUACUGGGCGUAAAGGGUGUGUAGGCGGUUGCUUAAGUUUGGUGUGAAAUCUCCCGGCUCAACUGGGAGGGUGCGCCGAAUACUGAAUGACUUGGAGUGCGGGAGAGGAGAGUGGAAUUCCUGGUGUAGCGGUGAAAUGCGUAGAUAUCAGGAGGAACACCGGUGGUGUAGACGGCUCUCUGGACCGUAACUGACGCUGAGACACGAAAGCGUGGGUAGCAAACAGG